Long non-coding RNA from Zonotrichia albicollis (white-throated sparrow), 1610 nucleotides. The record is from Ensembl. Lineage: Eukaryota; Metazoa; Chordata; Aves; Passeriformes; Passerellidae.
AAUACUGUGCAUGAUGUUUUGUUUUCCACCCUUCUGUUCUCGUUUCCUGCCUCUUCUCCAAGGUCCAGGUCUAACCCUUCUAACACAGUUCAUUAACCGGGUCAAGAGAAGAUCUGGACUCUAGUUUCAACUUUUCAUUGUCUUUCUUGGCGUCAUUAGCAGUUCACUUUACCUCUGCCCUUCUGCUUCCAGUCUCACUUCCUACUUGCAAAUACAGACAAAACCAUAGCCUUCACUCUGUUUGUCCAAUGCAUCCAAAUGGGACGGUGGUGGAGAAAAAAACAGCAGCUGUAGAGUCUCAAUAAAUUAUCCUAACACCCCUAAUUCAGGCAGUGCCAUUUAUGUUGGGGAAAUGUUAAGUAAAUCAGUGCUUCAUUUGUAUCAGUGUUCUAAUAGAGAGGGAACAUUUUCAUCUUUCUCGUCUAGUUUGCGUACAUGAAACUUAAAGAAAAUUAAAAAGCCUAGAUAUACUGUCAGGAAUUUCAUUAUGCUCUCUUCUAGGGAAAGGAAGUCACUGGUAAUAUCUAACAUAUCAUGAAGAAAGACGAACAACUCAGCAAGGCCUUGUCCUCUCUUUUCUCCCCCAAGAAGAGAAUGGGUCAAUGGUUACUUCACAGGCCAUUUCAGCCUCUAUUUGUGCUGAGAAAGGCACAAACAGGACAAAAGCUACUCCAUUGGCUAAUAGAAGGAGGAGAACUGCGUGGUGAUGGAUGUGUGAAAAUGACAUGCCAAAAGAAAACAGCACUCCCCGUUUCUUCCCUAGGGGAGAGAGGGGAAGAGCAAACCACAUGUGACAGUGUCAGUCAUGUUGCUUAAUGGACUGCUCUGGGACUUUCAGAUAGUACAGUGAUGUGGACAACAUAAGAACCUGUUUGGAGCUGCACAGCAUAGCAGUAAAAUGGAGAAAACUUGAAGGUCAUGCUCCAGAUUUUAGAAGACAGAGUGAAAAAGCACUGCAUCAGGUUUUUGGUAUGAUUUUUUGGUAUGCAGUUUUUACCUGCAUGGUGGCCUAAGAGCACCUCAGAGGAGUCCUAUAUAUGGUGUCAAUACAAAUCUGAAGGAAAAGUGUGAAAAAUGAAGAAUUUUCUCUUUUGGGAUCUUAAUAAUUUUAAUAUCAUAAAAAUAGAAUUUAAGAGAUAAAACUACAAAGAAAUAUGGAAUUGCUGAAGAAAAGCUGAUGAUUAACAUGCACAUUUUUCUCCAUCAAAAUUAUUUGAGAACACUUUUUAUAUUUCUGUUCUUGUUCCUUAUUUAAUUUUAUCUUCAUGAGGAAAACUAUUUCUCAUUGUACUUGUCUUCAGACUCUCCACUCUUAUGUCUCUCUGAUACAAUGUUGAAGGCCACCAUAAAGAUAACUAUGUGGAUUCUAAGGUAUUUUAGAUAUUUUCUAUAGCAGAGCAGUCAUCUGCCAUUCUAUUUUGAUUUGUUAGAGCAUUGUCCUGCACUUAAAAUUAGCCUGAACCUAAUAAUUCAUUUGAAUCAGGGUAUGGACAGUAGACCACAGAACAAAAAGGCCAUUUACAAUCAUGUUCUUUCACAAACACAAAAGUUAUUUAAAAUUCACUUCUUAUUUUAAUAAAGCAACUGUGUACACAAGUUUGUACUGGAUU